ACGAUAGGAGCUUUAGUGAGGAGGUAAAAUUCCUCUGUCUAAUCACAAAACAGCAGCAACAGAAGCAUUAGCACUGCAAGUUUCAUCAAAUGGUAUAGUCUGCUCAUCCAGUGUAGCUCAGUUCUGAUUGAAUGGAACCACUUGCAGAGGUACAAGGCUAGUUCAGUCUCCAUGCCCAUUCAGCCCUUGGCUUUU
This is an unclassified non-coding RNA of Gopherus agassizii (Agassiz's desert tortoise), 195 nucleotides long. NCBI's taxonomy places the organism in Eukaryota, Metazoa, Chordata, Testudines, Testudinidae. The record is from Ensembl.